CCAUAUGCCAUGGGGCAGCCAAAAAAGAAAAAGAAAAAGAAAGAUACAUAUAUAUUUAAAGUCAUGAUACUAAAUGAGGUCACCAAGGGAGUGUAAAUGCAAGCACAGAAGGAGAUAGUUAUCAAAGAGGGAUUUCAGGUGAAGAGAAGAAUUUCAUUUUUGGUUUGCUUCAUGAUUACUAUGAUCCAGUAGAGAGGGAAGAAAAUUAUGAUAAUAUAGUGACAAUUGCUGGAAUAAUAUCAGAGUGGGAUUCAGUUCUCAAGAAGUCUUGGAUUAUAUAGGAACAAGAUAUUUUAGUUGUUAUAUCAAAGCUAACAUAUUUAGUGUCCUUUUAAAUUUUAGCCAUUGUGGUGGUGUAUAGUGAGUGGUAUCUAAUUUGGCUUUCAGUUUGCCUUUCUCCAAAAUUUAUGAGGUUGAACACUUUUUCAUAUGUUCAUUGUCCAUUUGUUUUUUCUUUUCUCUAGUAAAUUCAUUCAUAAAACUUGAAGGCAAGUAAGAGGGAAAAUCAGAAUAUCAGAGUCUGUAGGACAAUAUUGGAGGAUCUGACGUGUGCAAUUGAAGUUCCAGAGGAGAGGUCACUUGGAAAAUAUUUUAAAAAUUCUGCAGUCUGCUGAUCUGAAUCGGUUUUGCCUACAAAUUUAUCAUUUUUCUCACCAUGUCACCAUUUGAAAUGUGAGAUAGCCAGCACCAGCAGAGAAGGAGAAUCCUCUGAUGUCUUCCUGUGUCUUCCUGCCACAAGUAGCAUUCUCCCUGGCUGAAUUACAUGUUUUUUCUAGCACAUGAGAGCAAGGUAACUAUGUCUUUUUUUAAAAAUUGCUCCUUUCAUGGGGUAAACAUUACUUAUUUGGUAUAGUAGAUGCUAAAAAUAGAUCCCCCAUUUUGCUUACCAUGACAUCCUGUUCAUUGCAAAUUAGUGAUGCUGGGAUGAAUGAACAAUUUCAGGGCCUCUACACUGUGAUUUAUACAGGCACUUGGGUGACACGGUAGAGAAGGGGUAGAACUGCAGUGUAGUCAGGUGCAUAUUUCACAGUCAGAGGGAAGCUGGUGUACUUGAUACUAGCCCUGUUAUAUCACUCACUGGGUUGUUUUAGAAAGUCAAACUCAUUGUUGUUCCUCAUUAGUAAAAGAAAGGACAUUAGUACAGAAAGGACAUUAAUUAAGGUAUAUUAAGUCAGAGCUAGGAAGAAAACUGGACUAUAUCAAAUAAGAUGUAUUUAAGGCAAGCAUUUCAUAAGAUUCAGUUUAUAAUUGGGAUGAUCAAAGAUUGAAAUCUCAGACACCUAAAAUGUGAACCACAUGGAAUUAAAACUUUAUAGCUAUUUCUUACUGUAAUGCUCUUUGUGACACAUGCUUAAGGUUUAUAUAGCAAUGUCAAAAAGAACUUCUUUAAAUUAUUAACAACAAAAAGUAAAUACUAAUGAAAGGCCAAAUCAGAUUCUCAUGAAUUAUAUUCAGGAGAAACACAAUGAUGAUGUUGUAAUGUGUGCAAGUGACUUAAAUAAAUAAAAAUACUCAGACCUUUAUUCCUUCUGAGGUAGAAUAAAUCUUUUUUAUUUUCUCCUACAGGCUACAAUCUCUUUAAUAGAUGGUCUGUUUCAAUAUAUUAAUCUCAAUAAUUAACACUGUAUAUUGUUCCUAGAAGGUGCCUAUAAAUGUCUGUUGGAUGAAUUAAUUAAAUUAGGAAAUUAGGACACUUCUAAGAGAUUUUAUUUGUAUAAAUCUCUCUUUAAAAGGGUUUCUAACCAUAGUGUAAGAGAAGGAUGAUAUCUAGCACAGAUUUCCUCAAAAGUGGAGGAAGAUGAGGGCUAUUCUUCGUCCACCACCCAAUAACCAGUUAAGUUUUGUUAAUCACUCUCAUUUGUGAUAAUCACCUAAACUACCUUAUAUCAUUUUUUUUUUUUUUUUGGGAAAUCCCUUGUAUAUCUUCUAUUAGGUUUUGACUCCCUCUAGGAAAGAAAAUAUGCCGCUCUAAUUGUAAGCCCCAAGUGAAUUGUAUUGUAUAAUUCUAGGGCUUAAAUGAAUUGUAUUAUUUACAGCAACUUUUGAAUCAAAGAAGAAUUAAAGAAUCUGGUUUAUUUACCACUUAAUCUUGUUUUAUUCUGUAUAUUGGGGACAAAAUGACUAAGAGAGAAGUACUACAGAAAAUAUUAUUUAAUUUUCACCUGCAGUUGAUAAAAGGAGAUCUCACAGGCUGGAUAAAUGCCAUUAAAUAUAAGCAUUAUGGAGAGGAGAUUUAGCAGGGAACUCUGGAGGCAGUCAGCACUACUCACAUCCUGGUACCCACACCAGUGUGAUUAUAAACAAGUGAUUUCCUUAUUCCCUUCUCAGUUUUUUCAGAUA
Molecule: non-coding RNA, 2340 nt
Organism: Sus scrofa (pig)
Lineage: Eukaryota; Metazoa; Chordata; Mammalia; Artiodactyla; Suidae
Source: RefSeq, a predicted model, not a curated record